UUUCGCAAUGCCCGAAAGGGUGACGAAGCGACGCCGCGUGCGGGAAGAAGGCCUUCGGGUUGUAAACCGCUGUCGGGAGUUAAGAAAUGUAAGGAUGUUAAUAGCGUCUUUGCUUGACUAAGGCUCCGGAGGAAGCCACGGCUAACUCUGUGCCAGCAGCCGCGGUAAUACAGAGGCGGCAAGCGUUGUUCGGAAUUAUUGGGCGUAAAGAGCACGUAGGCGGCUAUGUAAGUCGGUUGUGAAAGCCUUCCGCUCAACGGGAGAACAGCAUCCGAUACUGCAUGGCUUGAGUGCGGGAGGGGAGAGUGGAACUUCUGGCGGAGCGGUGAAAUGCGUAGAUAUCAGAAGGAACGCCGGCGGCGAAAGCGGCUCUCUGGCCCAUAACUGACGCUGAGUGUGCGAAAGCUAGGGAAGCAAACGGGAUUAGAUACCCCGGUAGUCCUAGCCGUAAACGAUGGGCACUAAGUAGAGGGGUUUU
Molecule: ribosomal RNA, 478 nt
Filed under: uncultured Planctomycetales bacterium
Lineage: Bacteria; Pseudomonadati; Planctomycetota; Planctomycetia; Planctomycetales
Description: bacterial SSU rRNA
Rfam family: Bacterial small subunit ribosomal RNA
Source: RNAcentral